RNAcentral lists this long non-coding RNA (638 nucleotides) under Ananas comosus (pineapple). RNAcentral describes it as "long non-coding RNA (ACOM_LNC044748)". Lineage: Eukaryota; Viridiplantae; Streptophyta; Magnoliopsida; Poales; Bromeliaceae. The record is from RNAcentral.
AUAUGGUUUAUUGUUGGCCAUGCCUUGCGCCUGUUCUAAUUUUUUCCGAAACUGUUGAAUCGUUUUGUUUGAGUCGUGUUUAGUAUUCUGUAUUCGUGUAUACUAAUGUUUUUUUUUUAGAGAGAUAUGUAGCAUGCUGCUAGCUUCAUUUAUUUCAUUUAGAAAUAAACUUAGCUAAAAAUGUGAAUCAACUAUGAUUCGAAUUAGGGACCUCGGAUACCAACCACCAAACCCUUUGCCACUUGCACUAGGAACGAUCGGUUAUGUUUUACUAAUGUUAUUUGAGCUUAUCAUAGCUUUUUUACAAACUAAUUCAUCACAAGUUAAUAUUUUCUGUUAUUGAACAGUUUUGAUAUUCUCUGUUAAUAUUCUCUGUUAAUAUUCUCUGUUACAAACUAAUUCCCCAGUUUUGUUACUUGACAUAUAGUUACAAUCAUUGACCGUCCUUAGCACAAGUGGCAAAGAGCUUGGUGGUUGGUACCUGAGAUCCCAAGUUUGAAUCCUAGUUGAUUUAUAUUUUUAGCUAAGUUUACUUCUAAAAGAAAUAAAUGAAACGGGUAGUAUGCUACCUUUCUCUCUCUCAAAAAAAAAAAUUCUUCUCCAUUACAAAUAUUUUUCAAAUGAUUAACAAAUUUUGC